CCUACGGGAGGCAGCAGUGAGGAAUAUUGGUCAAUGGGCGCGAGCCUGAACCAGCCAAGUCGCGUGAGGGAAGACGGUCCUAUGGAUUGUAAACCUCUUUUGUCGGGGAGCAAAAGACGCCACGCGUGGCGUUCCGAGAGUACCCGAAGAAAAAGCAUCGGCAAAGUCCGGGCCAGCAGCCGCGGUAAUACGGAGGAUGCGAGCGUUAACCGGAUGUAUUGGGUUUAAAGGGUGCGCAGGCGGAAGAUCAAGUCAGAGGUAAAAUUGAGAGGUUAAACUUCUUAGAGCCGUUGAUACUGGUUUGCUUGAGUGAGCGAGAGGUAUGCGGAAUGCGUGGUGUAGCGGUGAAAUGCAUAGAUAUCACGCAGAACUCCGAUUGCGAAGGCAGCAUACCGGCGCUCAACUGACGCUCAUGCACGAAAGUGUGGGUAUCGAACAGGAUUAGAUACCCUGGUAGUC
RNAcentral lists this ribosomal RNA (459 nucleotides) under uncultured bacterium. RNAcentral describes it as "partial 16S ribosomal RNA". It matches the Rfam family "Bacterial small subunit ribosomal RNA", at positions 338 to 795 of the family's 1533-position model. The record is from RNAcentral.